AGAUGUGAGGGCAGUCUGGCCAUGACAUCUGUCACCCUAUUGAUUGCCAGGGUUGAUUCAGCUGAUCUGGCUAAUGGGUCGAUGUCCCCUUCCUCCCUCAUGACUGCAGGCUGUCCCUCCUAAAGCUGUGCAUUCAGUUGAAGGGGCUGACCUUCCCUGAUAGAGAAGAACCAUUUUUCCAUUCCAUCAAGAGUAUAGGAACAGCCGGGUGCCAGUGGCUUAUGCCU
RNAcentral lists this small nuclear RNA (227 nucleotides) under Castor canadensis (American beaver). Its description in RNAcentral is "7SK RNA (ENSCCNG00000009606.1)". It matches the Rfam family "7SK RNA", at positions 1 to 223 of the family's 331-position model. From Rfam's summary of the family: 7SK was discovered as an abundant small nuclear RNA in the mid-70s but a possible function has only recently been suggested. The record is from RNAcentral. Lineage: Eukaryota; Metazoa; Chordata; Mammalia; Rodentia; Castoridae.